CAAUAGCGUAUAUUAAAGUUGUUGCAGUUAAAAAGCUCGUAGUUGGAUUUCUGGUGGGAGCGAUCGGUCUGGCGCUUAGCGCGAGUACUUGCAUCGUCUCCGGCCAUCCUUGGGGAGAGUCUGUCUGGCAUUAAGUUGUCGGGCAGAGGAUCCUCAUCGUUUACUGUGAAAAAAUUAGAGUGUUCAAAGCAGGCUUAUGCCGUUGAAUAUAUUAGCAUGGAGUAAUAAGAUAGGACUUUGGUACUAUUUUGUUGGUUUGCGCACCAAAGUAAUGAUUAAUAGGGACAGUUGGGGGUAUUCGUAUUCCGUUGUCAGAGGUGAAAUUCUUGGAUUUACGGAAGACGAACUACUGCGAAAGCAUUUACCAAGGAUGUUUUCAUUAA
This 383-nucleotide ribosomal RNA is filed under the name uncultured eukaryote. RNAcentral's name for it is "partial 18S ribosomal RNA". It matches the Rfam family "Eukaryotic small subunit ribosomal RNA", at positions 592 to 976 of the family's 1831-position model. The record is from RNAcentral.